Molecule: small RNA, 772 nt
Filed under: Candidatus Liberibacter psyllidaureus
Lineage: Bacteria; Pseudomonadati; Pseudomonadota; Alphaproteobacteria; Hyphomicrobiales; Rhizobiaceae
Description: bacterial LSU rRNA
Rfam family: Bacterial large subunit ribosomal RNA (bases 317-772)
Source: RNAcentral
UGGGAGAGCGCCUGCUUUGCAAGCAGGAUGUCAGCGGUUCGAUCCCGCUCGGCUCCACCAAUUGCGAAUUUAUAGUUUUUUUGUUCUAGGGGAUUUUUUUUUUAGAGCAAUAGUUUUUUGAAAAUUGAAUAGAAGGUAGAUUUUUUUGUAUUUUUUAUAUUGGCAUUGUAUGCGAUAUAGGAGGUACCGACGUUGUAUAACCGCACGUUGAAGAUUUAUCUCAGGAAAUUGGUCUAUUGAAAGAGCAUAAUUUAUUUAUGUUUUUUUAAUUAAGAAACGUUUGUAAUGAAUUUUAUGACGUAUUGACAAUGAGAGUGAUCAAGCGCGAUAAGGGCAUUUGGUGGAUGCCUUGGCAUGCACAGGCGAUGAAGGACGUAAUACGCUGCGAUAAGCUACGGGGAGCUGCAAAUGAGCAUUGAUCCGUAGAUUUCCGAAUGGGGCAACCCACCUUAGAUGUCUAGGAAAGUAUACUAUUAAGGUUUAAUUUUCUAGGUAUUUGAAGGUAUCUUUACCUGAAUAAAAUAGGGUAAAAGAAGCGAACGCAGGGAACUGAAACAUCUAAGUACCUGUAGGAAAGGACAUCAAUUGAGACUCCGUUAGUAGUGGCGAGCGAACGCGGAUCAGGCCAGUGGUAGGGAAGAUUUAAGUAGAAUUAUCUGGGAAGGUAAGCCAUAGAAGGUGAUAGCCCCGUACACGUAAUAAUUUUUUCUAUCCUUGAGUAGGGCGGGACACGUGAAAUCCUGUUUGAAGAUGGGGCGACCACGCUCCAAGC